Podarcis lilfordi (Lilford's wall lizard) is the source of this 1113-nucleotide non-coding RNA. Lineage: Eukaryota; Metazoa; Chordata; Lepidosauria; Squamata; Lacertidae. The record is from the annotation of a GenBank genome assembly.
UUCCUCUUUCAUUUCUAUGUGCUUUUCCAGGUAGAUGGGAGGUCACUAAUGCAUAAGGAGGAUCUUAAAACCUUCAUGGGCACCAGGGGAAGUUGUAUGGGUAACCCUAGCCACAUAGCUUCAUGCUUUCAAGGUGUUGCUGGGGCAAACUCAAUUGAUAUAAGACUAACAUUGUGGCGUGGAUCCACUGUAGGUGAGAAUGUUGUUCAUCCCUUCAUUACUGAUUUUCUUGAUUGUAUGAAUGUCUGGUAGCCAGUACUGUGCCUUUACAAGGCACUAACAGGAGGACAGUUCUGAGCAGGUAGGGGUGAUAAAUGUGCAUGAAUGUUAGACAUGAUGGCAUGGCAAUGAACCAAUGGGUGCUCUUGCAGCAUUCCAGCAUUUAAAAAAUCAGAGACUUUGCUUUAUGUCUGUAUGAAGCCCCCGUUCUGAAUGCUAAGCAAUGCAUAGCAUAAUCUUACGUUGGCCACUGUUAUUAGGAGCAAACAACCACAAGCAAAUUUGAUGCUUGCCGUAUUUAUAUUUCUAAAUGUAUUUAAAUUCUGCAGGUUAACAGGUGGAAGAUAAGUCCUUGCUUUUUCUCCCAUCUCUCUAAGGGAGAAGAGGCAUAAGGUGGUAAAAUGGAAGAGAAGGUCAGUGCAGGCUUCUGGGAACAAAGCUGAGGUUCUCCGCACGCUAUAUAACAAACCAGGCUCUACUGUUGCCUUCAGCACAGGGAUGACAUCCGCCCUCAAUGCACGUUGCCAGUCAUCAGAACGUCUCCAAACACAAACCAAGGAUUCUAAGCAGGGAUUUCCACAAGCAGGUGCUACAUCCAACAAGAAACCUUGCAAAAUCAAGUGAGAGUUAUUUGUCACCUGGAAGAUAAAUGCUGCAUUAAAAGGCAGGCCUUGAUGAUGAACGUAAGCCUAGCCUCAACAGCAAGAUAUGUACUGGUCAUGUAUGGGUGAGAUAAUAAAGGGUACAUCCUAGGUUUCAUCGUUUUGGUUCAUGCGGCCAACUGGGAAAACACAACAUGAUGGGAAAACAAAUUGUUUAGGAGGAUUUCACUUGUACAAGUGAGUGGAGGCAGAAACUCUUCGGAAGCUGAGGUUUGAUUAACAGGCAUUUGCU